GCGCGAGCACGAGGAGCAGCAGCAGCAGGAGGAGGAGCACCAUCAACACCAUCAGCGCCGUGAGCUGCUGCCUGCCUGCGGCGGGCGGGAAUCACCUCCCCGGGAACCUCUCGUUUGCAAAUUACCUGCUCUACGUUUGCCUCCUGCGACUAUAUAUUCUCCAUGUAGCCCCCUUACAACUUCAUUACCACCGUCUGAACCUAGUUCUCUCUCUACUGGGUAGUUUCUGCGCCGGGUCUCUCCAUCUAUCCACGCCGCUAGGCCUGCUCAUCAUGCUGUGGGUUUGCUCCUCUCGUAUCCCCUUACCUAGUUCACCUGCCGCAUGCCAGUAUCUAGAUGUGCGGCAUCUGCCCAGGCGGAGGCAGAGGUGAUCGGUGAGCUGCUGCCUAUGUGGGUGGCAUAGGUCGAUUCUCGGGGCUACGUAGUAAACGUUCUUGGUAGGCAGUGGGAUUUUGUGGAGAGGGGGAAUGGUAUCUUGAUCUAUGUGUGUACAGUUAGGCGAGUCGAAAUUAAAAUUGUGCGUCAUUGGUGGUAGUGAGGUACGAUUUGUCUUUGAUACGGUAAAUUGGUGUCCGACCCCAAGAUCGGGCUCUGUGACGUGGGUGACGUGAAGCGUCCCUGGCAAGUUGCUUUUCUGUAGCCUGAAAAAGGUGAAUCCCUUGACGGGCUUUGGAGUGUGAGCCGAGGGUUAUAAGGCGGAGGAAGACUCUGCGCCAGGGUGGUUUGAAGGGUUAUUAGACGUCGGAUCAUUGGCCCGAAAUUGUGGAUGUGUUCCUCAUUUAGUUGUUACGAAUCAGUUAGUCUUGCAUUCUCUGAGUUGUGACCGUCUAAAGAUGUUGUAUUGACCACUAUCUCACAGGUAGUUCUUGCAGCACUUGGGUUUACAGAGACAUCCUUCCACUAUCAAGAUGGUAGAGCCUCGAGAAACUCGCUUCGUAUAACAGAACUUUAGACCCAACACCUUGAACACGAAAUUUCAACCGUUAAACCGGUUUGACAUCUCGACCUUAGAUUGUCAGUACUUGUGUCAGGUUGAGUUUCAACGAAGCACUUGCUGGAUCUCGGUUACCCAAUGCCUUGUAGGGUCUCACUCACUAGGUGACCAUCGAGAUUGUGGCGAAUAGAUCUUAAAUUUUCAUGACUUCGGAUAUACACGAAUAGCUGCGAGAUCAUUCCUUAGGCGUGUUUUCGGGGAUUUUAAGUCCAUGAUUACUUCUACUUCAUCCUGCCAACAUCCUGUACAACAAAGCUGUGAGCUACUGUUGGGUCUCAUCCUUACAUCAACGAAAAUCACUUCAUAAAACCAUUUCUGUAGGAUAAAAUGUGCUUUUGGAGUUGUGAACCUUGCUGUGAGGAAUGCCGCAUGGACCGAAGCUAUGUGCUCCAUCUUAACGUGGUGGUAUUGAUACUACGUUUCGGACCAGGCUUCAUUCCCCUCAGCGCAGUUUCAUCAUGGUGAUGGACGGAAGACUCUCAAUAAACACGUGAGGCAACUAAGGUGUGCACAGGCCUGUUAAUGUUGUUCCUAUACUCUGAGUUUAUUGGAGAAAACGCUUGUAUUGUGAGUUGUCUUUCCUGCACCUAGACUGAAGUAAUGCUUAAUUUUAGGUGUGAUAGGUUCAUGAAUCUUAGAAACAUAUGUCCUUAGACUGUUAAUUUUGGAGAAUGUUAGGCAUCAUGGUUAUUCUGUUUGAGUGUUGCUGAGUUUCAUAUUCUUCUUGUUUGGUUGUUUCACAUAAGUGUAUAACAACACUUUCGAUGAUCAAUCAUUCUCAGAAAUUCACCAAUCGGUAUCUACAGUCGAUCACUAUGGACACUGGUCGAGAGAACCUACAGAUGGUGGUUUUUGUUUCACUUUUUACGCUUUCAACUGUCUCGAUACCCGAGCGUGUUAAAGAAUGUGUAAUGUACCUUUUAGCCAUGUAAUAAAAGUUGAUGGAAAGAUCUUUAACUUU
Non-coding RNA from Physcomitrium patens, 1955 nucleotides. Lineage: Eukaryota; Viridiplantae; Streptophyta; Bryopsida; Funariales; Funariaceae. The record is from RefSeq and is a predicted model, not a curated record.